RNAcentral lists this ribosomal RNA (312 nucleotides) under Triticum aestivum (bread wheat). RNAcentral's name for it is "partial small subunit ribosomal RNA". The record is from RNAcentral. Lineage: Eukaryota; Viridiplantae; Streptophyta; Magnoliopsida; Poales; Poaceae.
AUGGAAUGGGCAACCCAGAAAGGAUGGACACAAUCCAUGAUGCAAAUUCUCUGUUCAGUUGUUGGCAAGACGGAAGUUGCAGACCACAUGUUCUGGUCUUUGGAAGAACAUUCAUAUGACGUGCAGACAGGGCUGGAGUUUCCAUCUGCAGUUCACCUGGCUGAUUCUGCAGGUGCAGGUGACCUUGUUGAUCCGAAUGUAACCAUAGCCGCCAUUUCUCCCCAGCCUUAUGCCGCUACCGAACCUGAACUCAUGGAGCCCGUCAUGGUGAUCACUGAUCCACCGGCUAGUGACACUACUGGAAUUUACUAG